GAUGAAGAACGCAGCGAAAUGCGAUAAGUAAUGUGAAUUGCAGAAUUCAGUGAAUCAUCGAAUCUUUGAACGCACAUUGCGCCCGCCAGUAUUCUGGCGGGCAUGCCUGUUCGAGCGUCAUUUCAACCAUCAAGCUCCCCGGCUUGUGUUGGGGACCUGCGGCUGCCGCAGGCCCUGAAAAGCAGUGGCGGGCUCGCUGUCACACCGAGCGUAGUAGAUCUCAUCUCGCUCAGGGCGUGCUGCGGGUUCCGGCCGUUAAACCACCUUCAUAACCCAAGGUUGACCUCGGAUCAGGUAGGAAGACCCGCUGAACUUAAGCAUAUCAAUAAGCGGAGGA
This 337-nucleotide unclassified non-coding RNA is filed under the name soil metagenome. RNAcentral's name for it is "partial contains 5.8S ribosomal RNA, internal transcribed spacer 2, and large subunit ribosomal RNA". The stretch from base 1 to 120 matches the Rfam family "5.8S ribosomal RNA", at positions 35 to 154 of the family's 154-position model. The record is from RNAcentral.